GACGAACGCUGGCGGCGUGCUUAACACAUGCAAGUCGAACGGAAAGGCCCUGCUUUUGUGGGGUGCUCGAGUGGCGAACGGGUGAGUAACACGUGAGUAACCUGCCCUUGACUUUGGGAUAACUUCAGGAAACUGGGGCUAAUACCGGAUAGGAGCUCCUGCUGCAUGGUGGGGGUUGGAAAGUUUCGGCGGUUGGGGAUGGACUCGCGGCUUAUCAGCUUGUUGGUGGGGUAGUGGCUUACCAAGGCUUUGACGGGUAGCCGGCCUGGGAGGGUGACCGGCCACAUUGGGACUGAGAUACGGCCCAGACUCCUACGGGAGGCAGCAGUGGGGAAUAUUGCACAAUGGGCGGAAGCCUGAUGCAGCAACGCCGCGGGCGGGAUGACGGCCUUCGGGUUGUAAACCGCUUUCGCCUGUGACGAAGCGUGAGUGACGGUAAUGGGUAAAGAAGCACCGGCUAACUAC
Molecule: ribosomal RNA, 465 nt
Filed under: uncultured bacterium
Lineage: Bacteria
Description: partial 16S ribosomal RNA
Rfam family: Bacterial small subunit ribosomal RNA
Source: RNAcentral